GAGCAAAAGAAUCAAAACCACUGGAAAGCCAGGCUUUCUGGGACCAAUGAAGCAUACCUUUAUGAAUAGGUAAGUAAGUUGCCUGCUCUUAAUCUAGCCUUCAUCAAAUUUAACAGGCUGCUGAACUACGCCUCAGGGUGGAAAAUCUUUAUUGGAAGGACAACAGUUACUGCAACUCAGAAGGACAAGUUGCAGGCACCACCUGCAAUCCAGGAUCAAACCCCAACUCUACUGACAGCAGCACCUGCACUGAAGAGACUCCCUGACGGCCAAGGAAAUGACAACUAAUCCUAACAGAUAAAUAAAGCCAAGGGAAGGAGAUGGGGGAAGGAGAAGAAAAAAUCAGAUGUGGCUAGAUCUCUGUCAUCAUUGCCCCCACCCCUCAAUGUUCACCACAUGUCUGUAAAUCCUAGAGACUUCUGACUGAAUAUGAUUUUGAAUUCCUAACCCAUUAAAGACAAAAAAAAUCCUGCUUUUGGUAGGUGGCUUGUUAUUUUGAUUACUGAGCCAGAAAGCAGGGACGACAGGCCCCUGACCAAAACCAGGUAAGAGAUACCUCUGAAAAUGCAGAGCCUCAGUCUACCUAGGUAAUUAGCAAGAUGGUGGUGGCAGGGAAAUGGUAAAAGCUGAUGCUGCAUGUAAAAAGAGUUUUCCUCUUUCCUGCAAUACCAUACCGAUGAAUUUUCUGUAUUGCAUUAUGUUUCAUUAAUUUGCAAUCGUUCCACUAACAGGAAGACCAGAAUAAAUGUAUUAUAUAUUCUGGUAUAAUACAGGUAUUAAAAAAAAAAAAAAAGAAAAUAUCUUUCUGUUAUUAAAAAAAAAAAAAAAAGG
This is a long non-coding RNA of Tyto alba (common barn owl), 831 nucleotides long. RefSeq lists it as uncharacterized. Lineage: Eukaryota; Metazoa; Chordata; Aves; Strigiformes; Tytonidae. The record is from RefSeq and is a predicted model, not a curated record. The transcript has 2 exons.